UACCAUCAUUAACCGUCUCCGCCAUAAACAUCUUGUCCGAUUACUAGGGUGGUGCCACAAGAAUGGGAUGCUACUUCUGGUGUAUGACUACAUGCCAAAUGGAAGCUUGGAUAAACAAAUAUUCCAUGGACCUGAAGAAAAGAACACCCUGGAGUGGAAGCUCAGGCAUAACAUCAUAGCUGGUGUAGCAUCUGCCCUGCACUAUCUCCACAACGAGUACGACCAGAAAGUGGUGCAUAGAGACCUCAAGGCUAGCAACAUCAUGC
RNAcentral lists this unclassified non-coding RNA (266 nucleotides) under Hevea brasiliensis (rubber tree). Lineage: Eukaryota; Viridiplantae; Streptophyta; Magnoliopsida; Malpighiales; Euphorbiaceae. The record is from RNAcentral.